GUGGAUAUAGCUCAAUUGGUUAGAGCGCCAGAUUGUGGUUCUGGAAGUUGCGGGUUCAAGUCCCGUUAUCCACCCCA
Molecule: transfer RNA, 77 nt
Filed under: Lentisphaerota bacterium
Lineage: Bacteria; Pseudomonadati; Lentisphaerota
Description: Lentisphaerae bacterium (anaerobic digester metagenome) tRNA-His
Rfam family: tRNA
About the family: Transfer RNA (tRNA) molecules are approximately 80 nucleotides in length. Their secondary structure includes four short double-helical elements and three loops (D, anti-codon, and T loops).
Source: RNAcentral